UACGGAGGGGGCUAGCGUUGUUCGGAAUUACUGGGCGUAAAGCGUACGUAGGCGGCUUUGUAAGUUAGAGGUGAAAGCCCGGGGCUCAACCCCGGAACUGCCUUUAAGACUGCAUCGCUUGAACGUCGGAGAGGUGAGUGGAAUUCCGAGUGUAGAGGUGAAAUUCGUAGAUAUUCGGAAGAACACCAGUGGCGAAGGCGGCUCACUGGACGACUGUUGACGCUGAGGUACGAAAGCGUGGGGAGCAAAC
Molecule: ribosomal RNA, 250 nt
Filed under: uncultured prokaryote
Description: partial 16S ribosomal RNA
Rfam family: Bacterial small subunit ribosomal RNA
Source: RNAcentral